GGAUUAGUGGCGAACGGGUGAGUAACACGUGAGUAACCUGCCCUUGACUCUGGGAUAAGCCUGGGAAACUGGGUCUAAUACCGGAUAUGACUCCUCAUCGCAUGGUGGGGGGUGGAAAGCUUUUGUGGUUUUGGAUGGACUCGCGGCCUAUCAGCUUGUUGGUGGGGUAAUGGCCUACCAAGGCGACGACGGGUAGCCGGCCUGAGAGGGUGACCGGCCACACUGGGACUGAGACACGGCCCAGACUCCUACGGGAGGCAGCAGUGGGGAAUAUUGCACAAUGGGCGCAAGCCUGAUGCAGCGACGCCGCGUGAGGGAUGACGGCCUUCGGGUUGUAAACCUCUUUCAGUAGGGAAGAAGCGUAAGUGACGGUACCUGCAGAAGAAGCGCCGGCUAACUACGUGCCAGCAGCCGCGGUAAUACGUAGGGCGCAAGCGUUAUCCGGAAUUAUUGGGCGUAAAGAGCUCGUAGGCGGUUUGUCGCGUCUGCUGUGAAAGACCGGGGCUCAACUCCGGUUCUGCAGUGGGUACGGGCAGACUAGAGUGCAGUAGGGGAGACUGGAAUUCCUGGUGUAGCGGUGAAAUGCGCAGAUAUCAGGAGGAACACCGAUGGCGAAGGCAGGUCUCUGGGCUGUAACUGACGCUGAGGAGCGAAAGCAUGGGGAGCGAACAGGAUUAGAUACCCUGGUAGUCCAUGCCGUA
Molecule: ribosomal RNA, 701 nt
Filed under: Micrococcaceae bacterium
Lineage: Bacteria; Bacillati; Actinomycetota; Actinomycetes; Micrococcales; Micrococcaceae
Description: bacterial SSU rRNA
Rfam family: Bacterial small subunit ribosomal RNA
Source: RNAcentral